UGCACUCUAGAACUCUAUAUAUUUCUGAUGAAUUGUUAACUUGCCAAGGCUUCUGGGUGACAGAAUGAAUUUUCUCAGGAAUAGUUAAUCACGUUUUGGUCGUUCAACUGGUGAUAGAUGUUGCCAAGUUCCUGAGCCACAGAGAACGUACAUAAGUGGUUGGAUUGGUCAAUACCUAUUAAUACAAAAAAUAGAUGUUCCACCGUCUCUUCAAUUUGCAAACCAGAAAGGAUGCAAUCAUGGUUAUCACCGAUAUUGUAGUGCCAGUGCCUGCAUUUUGAGCAUGUUCCUUGUGUUUAAUGGAUCAGAUAGAAAAAAUGGGACCAGCCUUUUACUUUAUUAAACAUGUUAUGACCUUAACACCAUGCAUCCGCCUUGAAACACAUUAGCAUUGACCAUGAAUUAGUUUCACUAAGAUAAAAGCCUGAUUCUUAGGGAUUUAUUUUUUCCGGAGUGAGUCUCCGGGUUCACCGUCGCGUCCGUUUUACAGAAAGGCCCCUAUGGUUUUUAGGAAUUAAACCCGCCAUCCCUAUUUUAGUGAAUCUGAAAAAACGUUUCGUCUUUCUAGAAACCCUCCUGCAUCUGUAAGAAUUCAAUUCCCGCACCCUCCCGAUCCCAUCUCAACCUCCAGCCCACCGCCAUCUCCUGCCCCGCUCCGCCCCGCCCCGCCCGGCCGCCACCGCGCCGCCGGCCGUUUCCCCGCGCCGCCGCCUCCUACCCCGCCGGUGCGCCUACCCCUGCAGCCAUGGCGCGUCGCCCUCCAGCUAGACCCCUCCUCGGGCAAGAUCUCCUCCUAGAGUUGACGGCGAGCACGACCCAGCCCCACCCGCGCACGUCGCCGCCCCGUCCAUCGUGGCACCCCCCUUCUCUCGAUCGACAGGAUCCGCCGCAUAUCGCGCGACGCGCCGCCGCUGUGCUUCACCUGUCGCCGGCCUCCUUCCGGCUCCCUUGGUCGCCGAUGAUGGUCACGCACCGAUGUGGAGUUGUUCCCCAACCGAAGGAAUGGAUGAAGACUAUGGUAUCCAGCCGGCGAGUCCCAGCCACAUUACCUUGCCGAAUGCUGUGGUGCUCAGCAAUAAUUUUGGAUUGAUGGAUUGUCGUUGGCUGUUGCAGGUAAGAUGUUUGACAAAUUGUUUCUUUCAGAUUUGGAUUGUCGUUGUACAACGGCUUGCUAUGGGCCUAAGUAACGUAGAUUUACUGAUCAAUUUUGUAGCUAAUCAUCAGUAUCGAGAAGUAUUCACUAGCACUUCCUGUGUCGAUUGCUAUGGCUAACUUCUGUAAGGUCAUUUUAGCCAAAAUUUGUUGUACAUGCAGACACAAGGUUCGUUAAUGGUAAUAGAUGAUUAGAGAGCAGCAACUAAAUACUAUACUAUAUGUGCCGAAAUUGAUAUAUUUAACUCCAUGUAAGUAUUAUUAUGCAGUGGUGUAUUGUUCGUUCUCUGAAUUAUAUGUACCAAACUGUAUGUUCAACACUACUUCAGCUUCACGUAUGUGGCUAUACUAUGCGCAAAUAUAAAAAUCUGCAGUUCUUUAUCCGCAUAAUAAUCAUGACCUUCAAGGGAUGCCCAUUGUAAUUUUGGUAUAUACUUGAGAUAUUUAUUUUGGUCUCUGCUUGGGAAUAAGGGUAAAAGGUCCAGAGAUGAAAGCCUCACUUCAAAUUCUGUGAUGGGUCUCUCUAACAUUGCAAUUAUGCAAUAAAUUCCUCUCGAGUUUACUAUAUAUUACCAGCUUCCUUCCAUUUAAUUUAUAUAUUUAAUCCCAUCAUUGUCUAUGUCACAUGCUUCAUCAAUGUCUAUGUCAUCAACUAUGCUAUGACAGGGUAGUAGUUGCAAGCGUGCGAAGAAGGAUAACGCAUGCUAGAUCCUGCAGGUAGUAAUAGUUGAUUAUACUUGAUCGAUUUGAUCCUUUCUACACGGCAACACCAAAUUCAGUGUAUUUUUAUUUACGUAAGUACUCAAAUUCAGUAAGAGUUGGUACUGAAUUUGACUAGGCGCCGCCUUGACGGCCAAGCGUGUGAUGUCCAUGUUAGCCGGCUCCUCCACCCAGGCCCUCUGUAGCGCCGGUGAGGACACUGCUUUGUCCGAACCGAUUGUCACGACCAUGCGCAGGUACACACACAUGUGCUCCCCUACCACAACUGCAGUGAUUUAAGGCGAAAUCCAAUUGGGGGGUAUUGAUAGGCACCAAUGUGUUCCUGGUUGAGUUCCCAUGCCUUGCAUUAAGUUGAUCAUUUUGGUAAGAUCAAACUGAACAAGCUGAACAUCACUUGCCCAAACAAGCUGAAUGUCAUGCUACAUUAUUCCCAAUUUUGUAAAAUUGAUCAUAAUACUCCUGCUAUCAUGUCGCGUUUGCUAAUACUUAUUGAGUUGUAAAACGAUGUUUUCAAAUUAUAAGCUAGCCCGUCUUAUUAUGUUUCAGAAGAUCGAUACAGUGGUGUCAUAUGUCUUGAUAUGACUUUUUGUUUUUGGUUAUUUUUUAGAACAUUUAGUACAUGUAUUUAUCAAUGCUAGAACUUCUGACAACUUUGAAGCAAGAAAGUUCAGAGAAAUUGUUCCAUGGAAUAGCUAAACGAUAAUACUACUAUUCAUUUAUGAUUAUUUGCAACAUACAGAGAUAGAUAUAUUGAAACCUGUAAUGGCUAACAGCCAAAAUUAUGAAUUUGUUCUUGAUACUCUCUUUCUCUUUUCUUAAUAUCAUCAUGUACAAAUUAGAAGGUUUCUAACAUCUGCAUAUUUCAGGUUUCAGAGAGGGUAGAGAAAGUGAUGUUCAGACAUUUAAGUGCAGCAACAGAGUUUUCAUCCUUCUUUGCUGGUUGUGUUCCUCUGCUGGGACCAUUGCUGUGGUCUGAACUUCAGAGUUUUCAUCCACUCAAUGCUGAUUCAGUCAAAGAUCUCUGGGAAGAAAAUUAUUUCGACAAGAUUCACUCUACCGUGCUUAUCGCGGUCCUCUAGAUUACAUGGAAGCGCGUGAACUCCAAACUCUUCUGCGACAUUUUUGAGGAAUUGCACAUUACUGCUAGCAAGAUUGUUGAUGAUCUUAUGUUGUGGUCUAACAGGUAUUCAAACGAAAUUAAUAAAGUGCUCCUUAGAAAUUAGAGCACUAUGUUGUAUCACCUAUCCGUGAGAUUGUAAUUUUGUCCCUCCUUCUCUUUUCUAUUAGUCCCACUGUCUCAUUUGCCUUUGUAUAGUUCUCAGUUUUAUGAAGUGGUUCAGGCCGGCAUAGUCCCUCUAAAGAAAAUAAGGCGGCGAGUGACGCCUCGCCUUCUCUGAAGUCUGGACUGAAAAUUAUGUGGUUCUCUACUACUCGAAGAAAGAUGAAGAAGAAAUGGCUGGCUUACCAAUCGCCUAAGCACCAAGAGCUUUGGCGCCCAACUAUUGAAGAAGGCUCGGGCUGAUGGAGCUGUCCCAAACAAGAAUGUCAUGGCGCAGGUGUUGCCAUUGUCCCUAUCAACCUUCACCGGUGGUUACACAUACACGCACCCACGAACUAUUAGGUCAGGGGAGAAAACAGAGCAGCGGUCUUCAGUUAGAACAGAGGAGCACACGCAGUCAGGUUUCAGGAACCAAUGCCUUCAUAAUUUUUCUUUUUCAACUGAUUGCUGGCUAAACAUGCACAACCCUCUUAUUGCAAGGUUAAGAUCAACUUGACACCAGCAAUAAUGGCUUGAAAUGAGUUUUAGUUGUCAAGCAAAUGUUUGUGCUAAUUCCCACAAGAAAUUUUUUUUGAAGAAAUUUUACUUUAUCAGGGCAAUACCUUUUAUAUGGCUUCAUGAAAUCGAAUAUGACGCUAAAUUUGCAGAAUGACUAAGCGGCAUAGAAAAUUGAUUUAGCACUACUUAAUUAAUUAAAUAUGACCAAUUUUUGAUUUUGUGUUGAUGUUUCAGAUGGACUUUUUUUCAUAUGACAUCAGGGAUGUAGGAUGAUUGGGUGAACAAGCUUUCCGUGGAACAUCCAGAUCCCGGCAGCGGUGCGUCCGCUCAGCAUACCAUGCGGCGACGUCCUCCGACAUAAUGACAAAUGCCGGCAGGGGCGAGAGCAGAGCGGGAGGGGUAUUGCUUAGAUACCGUUGUGGGCAAUUGCCAGUGCCAUGAUUGUGGUUAAUACCCAUGGCGGAUUCUAUUCCUAUGUGUGGAUUAAACAAAGUUGAGUAAACAUCACCGGUAGGAGAUGCAUGUGCAGAUUAAGUUUAGAGGAGAAAGUGGUUCUUUAUUCAGUUCAAACGCUGACCGGAUCAGGUGCACCUUUAGGCUCUAUGAUAAGUGCCGACAACAAAUUCUUCUUUUCAGCGGGAUUGUAUACUGGACCAAGGUUCUAUAGGCGGUGGGUUUGCUAGGACUAUUCCAUGAAGCAGUGUAAACGCAGUUGUCAACACACUGAUGAAUUCGAUAGAGGAAAGUGGUCUAAGUUUCACGAUUUGGAGCUCUGAUGUGGAAGAGUUUUUGAGCUAAUGCAAGGGCAAUCUAGAAUAAUGACCUUGGCAGAUUAUGUGCAUGGAAAAGGUAAUGGCUUGUAUGAGAUUAUAUUGAUCUGUUUGUUCAGUGAGGAAAGGAAGAACAAAUGAUCCACUGCAGUGUUAUCUAUAGCCAAGGAACAAGAGGUCAAAGAUAGAUCUUAGAUGUAUUGAUGGACAUGUGAGACAAAUUAUCUCUUGAAGCUAGCCACAAACAUUGAAGUGGCGCUGGCAAGAGUAUGCAUCAACCAUCAUGCAUGAAUUCAUACGAUGUACCAUCAAGUCUCUGAAGUGUGGUGCUUGUGCUACAAUAUUCUUUUAAAUAUGGGCGAUGAAUCUAUUUUCCCGUUGCAACCCACGGGCAUUGUUUGCUAGUAAAGAAAUUAUGCAUGAUAUUGCACCAGCUGAAAUAGAAGGUAUUGAUAUUAUUAUUAAGCUUUCCAAUAGGGACACCAUUAAACCA
Long non-coding RNA from Triticum aestivum (bread wheat), 4912 nucleotides. RefSeq lists it as uncharacterized. The record is from RefSeq and is a predicted model, not a curated record. Lineage: Eukaryota; Viridiplantae; Streptophyta; Magnoliopsida; Poales; Poaceae. The transcript is spliced from 4 exons.